Molecule: unclassified non-coding RNA, 169 nt
Filed under: fungal sp.
Lineage: Eukaryota; Fungi
Description: partial internal transcribed spacer region
Rfam family: Eukaryotic small subunit ribosomal RNA (bases 1-46)
Source: RNAcentral
AAGUCGUAACAAGGUUUCCGUAGGUGAACCUGCGGAAGGAUCAUUAACACGUAUCCAACGUUUAACCACACCACCGCGGAACAACCUCACAAAAAAACCCUACCAAUGCGCCGGAUCCUAGCGGGUCGGAAACCCCGAACAACUGUCAGCAAUGGAUAUCUUGGCUCUC